RNAcentral lists this ribosomal RNA (488 nucleotides) under uncultured bacterium. Its description in RNAcentral is "partial 16S ribosomal RNA". It matches the Rfam family "Bacterial small subunit ribosomal RNA", at positions 30 to 523 of the family's 1533-position model. The record is from RNAcentral.
AUUGAACGCUGGCGGCAGGCCUAACACAUGCAAGUCGAGCGGGGUUUUCGGACCUAGCGGCGGACGGGUGAGUAAUGCGUAGGAAGCUGCCCGAUAGAGGGGGAUACCAGUUGGAAACGACUGUUAAUACCGCAUAAUGUCUACGGACCAAAGCGUGGGACCUUCGGGCCACAUGCUAUCGGAUGCGCCUACGUGGGAUUAGCUAGUUGGUGAGGUAAUGGCUCACCAAGGCGACGAUCUCUAGCUGGUUUGAGAGGAUGAUCAGCCACACUGGAACUGAGACACGGUCCAGACUCCUACGGGAGGCAGCAGUGGGGAAUAUUGGACAAUGGGCGCAAGCCUGAUCCAGCCAUGCCGCGUGUGUGAAGAAGGCCUUCGGGUUGUAAAGCACUUUCAGCGAGGAGGAAGGGUGGUGUGUUAAUAGCACAUCAUUUUGACGUUACUCGCAGAAGAAGCACCGGCUAACUCUGUGCCAGCAGCCGCAGUAA